CCUACGGGGGACUGCAGUGGGGAAUAUUGGGCAAUGGGCGCAAGCCUGACCCAGCAACGCCGCGUGAAGGAAGAAGGCUUUCGGGUUGUAAACUUCUUUUGACAGGGAAGAGUAGAAGACGGUACCUGUCGAAUAAGCCACGGCUAACCACGUGCAAGCAGCCGCGGUAAUACGUAGGUGGCAAGCGUUGUACGGAUUUACUGGGUGUAAAGGGCGGGUAGCCGGGUUGACAAGUCAGAUGUGAAAUCCUGCGGCUUAACCGCAGAACUGCAUUUGAAACUGUGGGUCUUGAGUACUGUAGGGUCAGGCAGAAUUCCAAGUGUAGCGGUGAAAUGCGUAGAUAUUAGGAGGAACACCAGUGGCGAAGGCGGUCUGCUGGACAGCAACUGACGGUGAGGCGCGAAAGCGUGGGGAGCAAACAGGAUUAGAUACCCGAGUAGUC
RNAcentral lists this ribosomal RNA (442 nucleotides) under uncultured bacterium. Its description in RNAcentral is "partial 16S ribosomal RNA". It matches the Rfam family "Bacterial small subunit ribosomal RNA", at positions 338 to 795 of the family's 1533-position model. The record is from RNAcentral.